This 405-nucleotide ribosomal RNA is filed under the name Triticum aestivum (bread wheat). RNAcentral describes it as "partial small subunit ribosomal RNA". Lineage: Eukaryota; Viridiplantae; Streptophyta; Magnoliopsida; Poales; Poaceae. The record is from RNAcentral.
AUGCCAACCGAAUCGAUGGAUUCAUGGUUGUAUGGAGAAUCAAUGGAGAACCAGGCCUUAAAACUUCCCGCAGGGCCGCGCCUCGCGCCCUUCGUCGCCGGCCGUGGCCAAGCCACGCCUCACGCCAUCGCCGCCUGGCCGCGCCGGCCGCCCCACGCCUCGGCCGCGCCCGUCCGCUUGGGCGCCAUCGACCUGCCGAAUGAGGUCGUCAUAAUCGACGACGACGACGAGGCCACGGCGCUGCCAUGUCCAACCCCUGCGGUUGUUGAAGUCGAAGCCAGCGAUGUGGUCAUCGACGCGGACACUGCAGGGUCCUCGCGCCUGCCGUCCCGACGCUCGCCACUCCUCCAGCUGCGCCACGCUCCGGCGCCCGCUGUCGUCUUAUGGCGCUCGGCUUUCUCCUAA